This is a long non-coding RNA of Oncorhynchus kisutch (coho salmon), 642 nucleotides long. RefSeq lists it as uncharacterized. The transcript is spliced from 2 exons. Lineage: Eukaryota; Metazoa; Chordata; Actinopteri; Salmoniformes; Salmonidae. The record is from RefSeq and is a predicted model, not a curated record.
GCACCUGGAAACACAGAGCCAAGAUGGAUUAUAUUUAGUUGUCAAUCUAACACAUGUAUAGCACAAUAAUAGACAGAUAUUAGAGGGCUUGCAAGUUGACAUACGAUGCCUCCUGGCGGCCAUAUUGGAAGACCACCGAAUUAAUUCCGUCAACAGACGAGUUGCUACCCCAAACUGCACGAUAACAGUGCCUAAAACUAGUUGAUUCAUCACCACGGUCAUUUUCUGUGGAUUCGUUUGCUGCUCUAACAAGGUUCACCAGCUGACCUCUUAUCAAGACACCCACGUCAACUGGAUUCCCACUGUGAAGAUGAGCAGUGCUGCAGCAGCAUCAGCGUCUACUACUUUAGGAAACAUCGCUCAGUUAUACGAGAUGGUUGCCAUAUGCUGUGCUUUGGACAAUUUCAAUUAAUCCUGUUGUGUCAUUUGAGUAGAGCGCCUUCUCCUUGUCGUCAUGACAAAAGUGCCUCCUUAGACCAUGUGGAUAUAUAAAAUGUCCUUUGGAGCGUGUAAAAUACUAUUGUUUAUGAUAUUGUAAACAUACUCUACUUUAAUAAUAGGCUGUAUUGUUGUAUGGGUGAAAUGAAAAGUGUUGUCAUCUAUGCUUUGACUAGCCCCAUUGAAUAAAAAAUAUUUCUUAUA